GCCGCGGUGGUGGAAUGGCAGACACGAUAGACUCAAAAUCUAUUGAUCGCAAGAUCAUGAGAGUUCGACUCUCUCCCGCGGCA
Molecule: transfer RNA, 83 nt
Filed under: Candidatus Daviesbacteria bacterium
Lineage: Bacteria; Candidatus Daviesiibacteriota
Description: tRNA-Leu
Rfam family: tRNA
About the family: Transfer RNA (tRNA) molecules are approximately 80 nucleotides in length. Their secondary structure includes four short double-helical elements and three loops (D, anti-codon, and T loops).
Source: RNAcentral